AGGCGGAGGAUGUUCUUGCGGUCCUCCUCGGCCUGCAAACAGAACAUCCAUAGCUGGGACCUACAGGCCCUGACUCCCUUUGCUGGGAUCUGCUCCACAUAACCGUGCCCGAGGGUUUGCAGCUUGCUACCUGAAAGGACAAGACCAGGCAGAGCUUUGCCUAAGGAAGGAGUCUCACAGCUGCAGUGAGAGACAAGAAAGGGUGGCCUCUGGCCCCCAGUGACCUGUUCUGCUUGUUCAGUCUCCGGUUCUCACCACUCCUCCCUCGCUCCUACCAAAAGCCUUCCCUCAGAGUAGAAAGACUUGAGAUAAGUGCGGCACUAUUCUUUGCCAGAAAUGAAAGAUGAAGAGAAUUUCAAAAGAUCGCCUUGUAAAUCUCCCUCAGAUCACAGCAAUCGUAACCAGAUCAAAGAAAUAUAGAAUAAGGUGAGCAUAUGCGUUCCCUCAGACCAGAAGGUGUGAGACAGAAGCAGCAGAAGCAGAGGUGUUAGAUCAAAGAUGAUCCUCAAGGAGCUCAGGACCUAUCUGAGGAUGAUGCACAAGGAAGAAUUCCAGCAGGGGCGGGAUCUGAGAGGGAAGACAACUCUCAAAUAGAAAACUCAAAGGAUACAAUAACUUAAAAAAAAUAAGGCAAGUACAAGUGCUGGACUUGGAAACUGAGAGCACAGAGUAGCAUAAAGUCAUUCCAGAAG
This is a non-coding RNA of Peromyscus maniculatus bairdii (prairie deer mouse), 692 nucleotides long. The record is from RefSeq and is a predicted model, not a curated record. NCBI's taxonomy places the organism in Eukaryota, Metazoa, Chordata, Mammalia, Rodentia, Cricetidae.